AUGACCCUCAGGGAAAUCCCCCAGGCUUCUGAGUUUGGAGUCCAGGAUCCAAAUCUCAGCUCUACCGCUCGCCACUCUUGUGAUCUCAAGGAAGUUCUUCACUUCUCUGAGCCUCAGUUUUCCAACUGUAAUCUUGGGAAGUUGAUUCCAUUAUCAUCUCAUUUCACAGAUGAGGAACUGAAACCACAAAGCUCUACUAACUAACCUGGCCAAGAGCACACAAUUCAUCAACGACAGAGUUGGGAUUUGAACCUAGAUAGCAUGAUCCAGAGCUAGUGUAAUUUACUGCAACAACAAGAAUGACAAUGAAAACAAUACAAAUCGAAAUCUACGUAUACUCAGAGAAAAUGCAGCCAGGAAUGCAUAUUUUAAAAAUAAGAAAAGAUUGCCUAGAAAUAAAUCAUGUUUAAAGCUUAAAAAGCUAGUGGAAAAAAAUACAUAAAGUGGAAGCAAGGAUAUUACUAAAGGAAAAAAACAAAUGAAUAAAAUGUGGGAGGUUGGGGUGGGAUAAAUUUGUAAAAAAUUAAGAGAUGAUUUUUUUCAAAAUAACCAAAAAUGUCAAAAGUCUGCAAUGUCUGACCAAGGUUAAAAAAAAAAGAGAGUUGGCCGGGCUCGGUGGCUCACGCCUAUAAUCCCAGCACUUUGGGAGGCCAAGGCGGGUGGAUCACGAGGUCAAGAGAUUGAGUCCAUCCUGGUCAACAAGGUGAAGCCCCGUCUUUACUAAAAAUACAAAAAUUAGCUGGGCAUGGUGGUGCGUGCCUGAAGUCCCAGCUACUUGGGAGGCUGAGGCAGGAGAAUUGCUUGAACCCAGGAGGUGGAGGUUGCGGUGAGCUGAGAUUGUGCCAUUGCACUCCAGUCUGGGUAAGAACAGCAAAACUCCAUCUCAAAAAAAAAAAAAAAGAGAGUUAUCAGCUUUAGAAAUUAGAAGGGAAUAUAAUUAUAGGUAUGAAAUAGAUUUUGAAAAGUUUGCGGUGGAAUACUGAAUCUAAACUAAUUUUUAUUUAUUUAUUUAUUUAUUUGUUCAUUUUUUAAAAACUUUUAAGUUCAUGGGUCCAUGUGCAAGAUGUGCAGUUUUGUUACAUACGUAAAUGUGUGCUUUGGGGGUUUGUUGUACAGAUUACUUCAUUGCCCAGGUAUUAAGCCUUGUGUUCAUUGCUUAUGUUUUUUGAUCCUCUCUCUCUUAUCACCCUCUGCCCCCCCAUAGGCUCUCGUGUGUAUUGCUCCCCACUAUGUGUCCAUGUGUUCUCAUUAUUUAGCUCCCACUUAUAAGUGAGAACAUAUAGUAUUUGAUUUUCUGCUCCUGCAUUUGUUUGUUAAGGAUAGUGGCCUCCAGCUCCAUUCAUGUCCCUGCAAGGGACAUGAUCUCAUUCCUUUUUAUGGCUGCAUAGUAUUCCGUAGUGUAUAUGUACUGCAUUAUCUUUACCCAGUCUAUCAUUGAUGGAUAUCUAGGUUGAUUCCAUGUCUUUGCUAUUGUGAACAGUGCUGCAAUAAACAUACAUGCAUAUGUGUUUUUAUAAUAGAAUGAUUUAUUAAUAUAUUCCUCUGGGUAUAUACCCACUAAUGAGAUUGUUAGGUCAAAUGUUAUUUCUGUUUCUAGGUCUUUGAGGAAUCAUCACACUGUCUUCCACAAUUGUUGAACUCAUUUAUACUCCCAUCUACAGAUAAGAGUUUCUCCACAACUUCACCAGCAUAUAUUAUUUUUUGACUUUGUAAUAAUUGUUCUGAUUAAUGUGAGAUGAUAACACAUUGUGGCUUUGGUUUGCAUUUCUCUUAUGAUCAGUUAUGUUGAGCUUUUUUAUAUGUUUGUUGGCUGCAUGAAUGUCUUCUUUUGAGAAGUGUCUGUUUAUGUCCUUUGCCCACUUUUUAAUAGGAUUAUUUGUUUUUCUUGUAAAUUUGUUUAAGGUCCUUGUAGAUGCUGGAUAUUAGAUCUUUGUCAGAUGCAUAAUUGCAAAAUUUUCUCCCAUUCUGCUGGUUUUCUGUUUUCUCUGUUGACAGUUUCUUUUGCUGUCCAGAGGCUCCUUAGUUUAAUUAGAUUCCAUUUGUCAGUUUUUGCUUUUGUUGGAAUUGAUUUUGACAUCUUCAUCAUGAAAUCUU
Molecule: long non-coding RNA, 2094 nt
Organism: Callithrix jacchus (white-tufted-ear marmoset)
Lineage: Eukaryota; Metazoa; Chordata; Mammalia; Primates; Cebidae
Source: Ensembl